AUAUCUCUCUGUACGGGAAGGAUGAGAAGCUUCGACCAAGGUUCGAUUCGAGCGCAGCGAGAAAGCGUUGCCGCAGGCAACGACCCGAAGGGCGA
This 95-nucleotide small RNA is filed under the name Salmonella enterica. Its description in RNAcentral is "partial RtT sRNA". It matches the Rfam family "RtT RNA", at positions 1 to 94 of the family's 130-position model. Rfam says of the family: This family represents a bacterial cis-regulatory element known as RtT RNA. The exact function of RtT is unknown although it is thought that it may be involved in changing the cellular response in relation to amino acid starvation. The record is from RNAcentral. Lineage: Bacteria; Pseudomonadati; Pseudomonadota; Gammaproteobacteria; Enterobacterales; Enterobacteriaceae. RNAcentral also lists the same sequence under 3 other names.